Molecule: ribosomal RNA, 465 nt
Filed under: Salmonella enterica subsp. enterica serovar Enteritidis str. 3402
Lineage: Bacteria; Pseudomonadati; Pseudomonadota; Gammaproteobacteria; Enterobacterales; Enterobacteriaceae
Also listed under: 1 other name
Description: bacterial SSU rRNA
Rfam family: Bacterial small subunit ribosomal RNA
Source: RNAcentral
GUCGCAAGACCAAAGAGGGGGACCUUCGGGCCUCUUGCCAUCAGAUGUGCCCAGAUGGGAUUAGCUUGUUGGUGAGGUAACGGCUCACCAAGGCGACGAUCCCUAGCUGGUCUGAGAGGAUGACCAGCCACACUGGAACUGAGACACGGUCCAGACUCCUACGGGAGGCAGCAGUGGGGAAUAUUGCACAAUGGGCGCAAGCCUGAUGCAGCCAUGCCGCGUGUAUGAAGAAGGCCUUCGGGUUGUAAAGUACUUUCAGCGGGGAGGAAGGUGUUGUGGUUAAUAACCGCAGCAAUUGACGUUACCCGCAGAAGAAGCACCGGCUAACUCCGUGCCAGCAGCCGCGGUAAUACGGAGGGUGCAAGCGUUAAUCGGAAUUACUGGGCGUAAAGCGCACGCAGGCGGUCUGUCAAGUCGGAUGUGAAAUCCCCGGGCUCAACCUGGGAACUGCAUUCGAAACUGGCA